This 500-nucleotide ribosomal RNA is filed under the name uncultured bacterium. Its description in RNAcentral is "partial 16S ribosomal RNA". It matches the Rfam family "Bacterial small subunit ribosomal RNA", at positions 29 to 523 of the family's 1533-position model. The record is from RNAcentral.
AUUGAACGCUAGCGGGAUGCCUUACACAUGCAAGUCGAACGGCAGCACGGACUUCGGUCUGGUGGCGAGUGGCGAACGGGUGAGUAAUGUAUCGGAACGUGCCCAGUAGCGGGGGAUAACUACGCGAAAGCGUAGCUAAUACCGCAUACGCCCCUAGGGGGAAAGCAGGGGAUCGCAAGACCUUGCACUAUUGGAGCGGCCGAUAUCGGAUUAGCUAGUUGGUGAGGUAAUGGCUCACCAAGGCCGCGAUCCGGAGCUGGUUUGAGAGGACGACCCGCCACACUGGGACUGAGACACGGCCCCGAAUACUACGGGAGGCAGCAGUGGGGAAUUUUGGACAAGGGGGGAAACCCUGAUCCAGCCAUCCCGCGUGUGCGAUGAAGGCCUUCGGGUUGUAAAGCACUUUUGGCAGGAAAGAAACGGCGCGUGCUAAUACCAUGCGCAACUGACGGUACCUGCAGAAUAAGCACCGGCUAACUACGUGCCAGCCGCCGCCGUAA